Molecule: ribosomal RNA, 460 nt
Filed under: uncultured bacterium
Lineage: Bacteria
Description: partial 16S ribosomal RNA
Rfam family: Bacterial small subunit ribosomal RNA
Source: RNAcentral
CCUACGGGAGGCAGCAGUGAGGAAUAUUGGUCAAUGGGCGCGAGCCUGAACCAGCCAAGUCGCGUGCGGGAGGACGGCCCUACGGGUUGUAAACCUCUUUUGCCGGGGAGUAACGGGCGCCACGUGUGGCGUCACUGAGAGUACCCGGAGAAAAAGCAUCGGCUAACUCCGUGCCAGCAGCCGCGGUAAUACGGAGGAUGCGAGCGUUAUCCGGUUUUUUUGGGUUUAAGGGGUGCGUAGGCGGCUCGUUAAGUCAGUGGUAAAAUUGAGGGGUCAAACCCCUUACCGCCAUUGAUACUGGCAGUCUUGAGUACAGUUGAGGUAGGCGGAAUUCAUGGUGUAGCGGUGAAAUGCUUAGAUAUCACGAAGAACUCCGAUUGCGAAGGCAGCUUACUAAGCUGCCACUGACAUUGAUGCUCGAAAGUGUGGGUAUCAAACAGGAUUAGAUACCCGAGUAGUC